This 253-nucleotide ribosomal RNA is filed under the name uncultured bacterium. Its description in RNAcentral is "partial 16S ribosomal RNA". It matches the Rfam family "Bacterial small subunit ribosomal RNA", at positions 524 to 776 of the family's 1533-position model. The record is from RNAcentral.
GACGAACCGUGCGAACGUUGUUCGGAAUCACUGGGCUUAAAGGGCGCGUAGGCGGGCCGCCAAGUCUGGAGUGAAAGCCCACGGCUCAACCGUGGAAGCGCUUCGGAUACUGGCGGCCUCGAGGGGUGCAGGGGCGUGCGGAACUUCCGGUGGAGCGGUGAAAUGCGUAGAUAUCGGAAGGAACACCGGUGGCGAAAGCGGCGCGCUGGACACCUACUGACGCUGAGGCGCGAAAGCCAGGGGAGCAAACGGG